Molecule: ribosomal RNA, 303 nt
Filed under: uncultured bacterium
Lineage: Bacteria
Description: bacterial SSU rRNA
Rfam family: Bacterial small subunit ribosomal RNA
Source: RNAcentral
UGGGGAAUAUUGCACAAUGGGGGAAACCCUGAUGCAGCGACGCCGCGUGAGUGAAGAAGUAUUUCGGUAUGUAAAGCUCUAUCAGCAGGGAAGAAAAUGACGGUACCUGACUAAGAAGCCCCGGCUAACUACGUGCCAGCAGCCGCGGUAAUACGUAGGGGGCAAGCGUUAUCCGGAUUUACUGGGUGUAAAGGGAGCGUAGACGGCAGAGCAAGUCUGAAGUGAAAGCCCGCGGCCCAACUGCGGGACUGCUUUGGAAACUGCCCGGCUAGAGUGCUGGAGAGGUAAGCGGAAUUCCUAGUG